This 532-nucleotide ribosomal RNA is filed under the name uncultured bacterium. RNAcentral's name for it is "bacterial SSU rRNA". It matches the Rfam family "Bacterial small subunit ribosomal RNA", at positions 335 to 857 of the family's 1533-position model. The record is from RNAcentral.
ACUCCUACGGGAGGCAGCAGUGGGGAAUUGUUCGCAAUGGGCGCAAGCCUGACGACGCAACGCCGCGUGGAGGACGAAGACCUUCGGGUCGUAAACUCCUUUCGAUCGAGACGAACGGCCUCCGGGUGAACAAUCCGGAGGAGUGACGGUACCGAGAGAAGAAGCCCCGGCUAACUCCGUGCCAGCAGCCGCGGUAAUACGGGGGGGGCAAGCGUUGUUCGGAAUUACUGGGCGUAAAGGGCUCGUAGGCGGCCAACUAAGUCAGACGUGAAAUCCCUCGGCUUAACCGGGGAACUGCGUCUGAUACUGGAUGGCUUGAGAUUGGGAGAGGGAUGCGGAAUUCCAGGUGUAGCGGUGAAAUGCGUAGAUAUCUGGAGGAACACCGGUGGCGAAGGCGGCAUCCUGGACCAACACUGACGCUGAGGAGCGAAAGCCAGGGGAGCAAACGGGAUUAGAUACCCCGGUAGUCCUGGCCCUAAACGAUGAAUGCUUGGUGUGGCGGGUAUCGAUCCCUGCCGUGCCGAAGCUAACG